ACUCCAGACUCCUACGGGAGGCAGCAGUGGGGGAUAUUGCACAAUGGGGGGAACCCUGAUGCAGCGACGCCGCGUGGGUGAAGAAGCGCCUCGGCGCGUAAAGCCCUGUCAGCAGGGAAAAAAAUGACGGUACCUGAGUAAGAAGCACCGGCUAAAUACGUGCCAGCAGCCGCGGUAAUACGUAUGGUGCAAGCGUUAUCCGGAUUUACUGGGUGUAAAGGGAGCGUAGGCGGCGCGUUAAGUCUGAUGUGAAAACCCGAGGCUCAACCACGGGAGUGCAUUGGAAACUGGCGGGCUGGAGUGCCGGAGAGGUAAGCGGAAUUCCUAGUGUAGCGGUGAAAUGCGUAGAUAUUAGGAGGAACACCGGUGGCGAAGGCGGCCUGCUGGACUGCAACUGACGUUGAGGCCCGAAAGCGUGGGGAGCAAACAGGAUUAGAUACCCUGGUAU
Molecule: ribosomal RNA, 448 nt
Filed under: uncultured bacterium
Lineage: Bacteria
Description: bacterial SSU rRNA
Rfam family: Bacterial small subunit ribosomal RNA
Source: RNAcentral